AACGUAGGAGACAAACGUUAUCCGGAGUUACUGGGCGUAAAGCGCGUGUAGGCGGCUAAGUAAGUCGGGCGUGAAAUCCCACGGCUCAACCGUGGAAGUGCACUCGAAACUGCAUAGCUAGAGUCCUGGAGAGGAAGGUGGAAUGCUUGGUGUAGAGGUGAAAUUCGUAGAUAUCAAGCGGAACACCGGUGGCGAAGGCGGCCUUCUGGACAGUGACUGACGCUGAGACGCGAAAGCGUGGGGAGCAAACAGG
Molecule: ribosomal RNA, 253 nt
Filed under: uncultured bacterium
Lineage: Bacteria
Description: partial 16S ribosomal RNA
Rfam family: Bacterial small subunit ribosomal RNA
Source: RNAcentral